RNAcentral lists this unclassified non-coding RNA (328 nucleotides) under Hevea brasiliensis (rubber tree). Lineage: Eukaryota; Viridiplantae; Streptophyta; Magnoliopsida; Malpighiales; Euphorbiaceae. The record is from RNAcentral.
AAACACACACACACACAACACAGAGGCCCUUGGACUUGGAGUGUGGACAAGAAAUCUUGUAAAUUUAAUCUCCCUAAAAGCUUAAACUAGUUGGUGAGUGUCCAAAAAUUGUUUAUAUCUCUAACACUGCCCUUCAUGCAAAGCCCAAGUGUUAAUAAGAGAUCUUGUAAUUUUAAUUAAUAAGAGGAGGAGCCCAAGAUUCAAACUCUAGGCCGUCUAGUUAGAGGAAGAAAAUACCAUGAUUAAACCACUCAACCUUUUGUAGGUGAGGACACAAGAAUAAUUUAUAUCUCUAACAAAGUCAAGUUGGAUAAAGUAUUCAGUAUUU